GGUCGUUGGGGAAUUAGCUCAAAUGGUAGAGCGCCCGCUUAGCAUGCGGGAGGUUCCGGGAUCGAUGCCCGGACAUCGAUCC
This 82-nucleotide transfer RNA is filed under the name Acropora cervicornis. Its description in RNAcentral is "tRNA-Ala". The stretch from base 14 to 73 matches the Rfam family "tRNA", at positions 7 to 64 of the family's 71-position model. Rfam says of the family: Transfer RNA (tRNA) molecules are approximately 80 nucleotides in length. Their secondary structure includes four short double-helical elements and three loops (D, anti-codon, and T loops). Lineage: Eukaryota; Metazoa; Cnidaria; Anthozoa; Scleractinia; Acroporidae. The record is from RNAcentral.